UGGGGAAUAUUGCGCAAUGGGGGAAACCCUGACGCAGCGACGCCGCGUGCGGGAUGAAGGCCUUCGGGUUGUAAACCGCUUUUGAUUGGGAGCAAGCCUUUUUGGUGAGUGUACCUUUCGAAUAAGCGCCGGCUAACUACGUGCCAGCAGCCGCGGUAAUACGUAGGGCGCAAGCGUUAUCCGGAAUUAUUGGGCGUAAAGAGCUUGUAGGCGGUUCGUCGCGUCUGGUGUGAAAGCCCAUCGCUUAACGGUGGGGUUGCGCCGGGUACGGGCGGUCUAGAGUGCAGUAGGGGAGACUGGAAUUCCCGGUGUAGCGGUGGAAUGUGUAGAUAUCGGGAAGAACACAAAUGGCGAAGGCAGGUCGCUGGGCUGUUACUGACGCUGAGAAGCGAAAGCGUGGGGAGCGAACAGG
This 412-nucleotide ribosomal RNA is filed under the name Verrucomicrobiota bacterium. RNAcentral's name for it is "Verrucomicrobia bacterium partial 16S ribosomal RNA". It matches the Rfam family "Bacterial small subunit ribosomal RNA", at positions 355 to 776 of the family's 1533-position model. The record is from RNAcentral. Lineage: Bacteria; Pseudomonadati; Verrucomicrobiota.